RNAcentral lists this ribosomal RNA (1563 nucleotides) under metagenome. RNAcentral's name for it is "bacterial LSU rRNA". It matches the Rfam family "Bacterial large subunit ribosomal RNA", at positions 1378 to 2925 of the family's 2925-position model. The record is from RNAcentral.
CUUGAGUCGGCCCCUAAGGCGAGGCAGAAAUGCGUAGUCGAUGGGAAGCAGGUUAAUAUUCCUGCACUUUUCUUAAGUGCGAUGUGGGGACGGAGAAGGUUAGGUCUACCAGGCGUUGGUUGUCCUGGGGAAAGGAGGUAGGCGGUGAUCUUAGGCAAAUCCGGGAUCACUUACGCCGAGCACCGAGACGAGUCCUAUGAGGACGAAGUGACUGACACCACGCUUCCAGGAAAAGCCACUAAGCUUCAGCUUAAGAAAAACCGUACCGCAAACCGACACAGGUAGGCAGGGUGAGAAUCCCAAGGCGCUUGAGAGAACUCGGGUGAAGGAACUAGGCAAAAUGGCACCGUAACUUCGGGAGAAGGUGCGCCCUUUGGUGUGGUCACGUGCGUGACUGAGCAUCGAAGGGUCGCAGUAACCUGGCCGCUGCGACUGUUUAUCAAAAACACAGCACUCUGCAAACACGAAAGUGGACGUAUAGGGUGUGACGCCUGCCCGGUGCUGGAAGGUUAAUUGAUGGGGUCAGCCGCAAGGCGAAGCUCUUGAUCGAAGCCCCAGUAAACGGCGGCCGUAACAAUAACGGUCCUAAGGUAGCAAAAUUCCUUGUCGGGUAAGUUCCGACCUGCACGAAUGGCGUAACGACAGCGGCGCUGUCUCCACCCGAGACUCAGUGAAAUUGAAAUCGCUGUGAAGAUGCAGCGUUCCCGCGGCAAGACGGAAAGACCCCGUGAACCUUUACUAUAGCUUUACACUGAACGUUGAGUUCUUCUGUGUAGGAUAGGUGGGAGGCUAUGAAACCAGGACGCUAGUUCUGGUGGAGCCAUCCUUGAAAUACCACCCUGAAGUGCUUGACGUUCUAACCUAGGCCCGUAAUCCGGGUCAGGGACCGUGUAUGGUGGGUAGUUUGACUGGGGCGGUCUCCUCCCAAAGAGUAACGGAGGAGCACGAAGGUACGCUCAGCGCGGUCGGACAUCGCGCACUGUGUGCAAAGGCAUAAGCGUGCUUGACUGCGAGAUCGACGGAUCAAGCAGGUACGAAAGUAGGUCUUAGUGAUCCGGUGGUUCUGUAUGGAAGGGCCAUCGCUCAACGGAUAAAAGGUACUCCGGGGAUAACAGGCUGAUACCGCCCAAGAGUUCAUAUCGACGGCGGUGUUUGGCACCUCGAUGUCGGCUCAUCACAUCCUGGGGCUGUAGCCGGUCCCAAGGGUAUGGCUGUUCGCCAUUUAAAGUGGUACGCGAGCUGGGUUCAGAACGUCGUGAGACAGUUCGGUCCCUAUCUGUCGUGGGCGUUGGAGAUUUGAGGGGGGCUGCUCCUAGUACGAGAGGACCGGAGUGGACGUUCCGCUGGUGUUCGGGUUGUCAUGCCCAUGGCAUUGCCCGGUAGCUACGAACGGAAGUGAUAACCGCUGAAAGCAUCUAAGCGGGAAGCACGCCCCAAGAUGAGAUCUCCCGAGAGCUUGACUCUCCUAAAGGCACCAUCAAGACUAGGUGGUUGAUAGGUCAGGUGUGGAAGCGCAGCAAUGCGUUGAGCUAACUGAUACUAAUGAGCCGUGAGGCUUGACCA